This 336-nucleotide RNase MRP RNA is filed under the name Blastobotrys adeninivorans. RNAcentral's name for it is "RNase_MRP". It matches the Rfam family "RNase MRP". From Rfam's summary of the family: RNase MRP is an enzymatically active ribonucleoprotein with two distinct roles in eukaryotes. The record is from RNAcentral. Lineage: Eukaryota; Fungi; Ascomycota; Dipodascomycetes; Dipodascales; Trichomonascaceae.
CCGUGGGUGACGAGAAUUGCAUUCGAAGCUACUAAAGAAGAUUCAAUCUUCCUAUUUGCUUUGGGGAAAGUCUCCGGUCGUAUGGGCGGAAACGCUGUCGGGUCAACCCCCGGCCCAUGUUUAGGCUCUCUUUUAAGGCCCUAGUGGCCCUCCUUUACAGUUGCCUUAGUAAAGGCCAGCACCAUUUGGUGCCGACAUCUUUGGGGUGUAGCUACGAGGGGAGAGAGCUUGACAUGGCCUUUUAAAAUUUCGACGAUGAGGUAUUUGCCUUAAACGAAAGUUAUUGCAAUUGCCCAGUAAAAUGGGUAACCCAAUGGAGCUUACUCGUAGCCCACG